RNAcentral lists this ribosomal RNA (454 nucleotides) under uncultured bacterium. Its description in RNAcentral is "partial 16S ribosomal RNA". It matches the Rfam family "Bacterial small subunit ribosomal RNA", at positions 28 to 507 of the family's 1533-position model. The record is from RNAcentral.
GAUGAACGCUGACAGAAUGCUUAACACAUGCAAGUCAACUUGAACUUCGGUUUGGGUGGCGGACGGGUGAGUAACGCGUAAAGAACUUGCCUCACAGAUAGGGACAACAUUUGGAAACGAAUGCUAAUACCUGAUAUUAUGAUUAUAUGGCAUCGUAUAAUUAUGAAAGCUAUAUGCGCUGUGAGAGAGCUUUGCGUCGCAUUAGCUAGUUGGAGAGGUAACGGCUCACCAAGGCGAUGAUGGGUAGCCGGCCUGAGAGGGUGAUCGGCCACAAGGGGACUGAGACACGGCCCUUACUCCUACGGGAGGCAGCAGUGGGGAAUAUUGGACAAUGGACCAAGAGUCUGAUCCAGCAAUUCUGUGUGCACGAUGAAGUUUUUCGGAAUGUAAAGUGCUUUCAGUUGGGAAGAAAAAAAUGACGGUACCAACAGAAGAAGUGACGGCUAAAUACGUG